CCGUGCGCAUCGCGGACGCCGCCGCCGUACGCCUGCUGAGACCGGGCGACAGGGUGGAUGUGAUCGCGUCCCAGGAGGGCUCCGCUCCCCCGCGGACCGUC
This 101-nucleotide transfer RNA is filed under the name Streptomyces daqingensis. RNAcentral's name for it is "tRNA-Leu". The record is from RNAcentral. Lineage: Bacteria; Bacillati; Actinomycetota; Actinomycetes; Kitasatosporales; Streptomycetaceae.